UAUACAUCUGCAACCUAUAGUUAAAAAAACCAAAUCGUAUAUUAAAGACACCAUGAUGAUGUUAAAUCUUUUAAGUGAAUGCAGAUGGAACAACAACUGUUUUUUGGUAACCUGCGAUGUAGCUGCCUUGUAUAGUAAUAUACCACACGAGUACGGUUAUGAAGCAACGAAACAUUUUAUAGAAAAUCAUUCAGACCUUACC
Non-coding RNA from Pelobates cultripes (western spadefoot toad), 202 nucleotides. The record is from the annotation of a GenBank genome assembly. NCBI's taxonomy places the organism in Eukaryota, Metazoa, Chordata, Amphibia, Anura, Pelobatidae.